AAAUUGAAGAGUUUGAUCAUGGCUCAGAUUGAACGCUGGCGGCAGGCCUAACACAUGCAAGUCGAACGGUAACAGGAAGCAGCUUGCUGCUUUGCUGACGAGUGGCGGACGGGUGAGUAAUGUCUGGGAAACUGCCUGAUGGAGGGGGAUAACUACUGGAAACGGUGGCUAAUACCGCAUAACGUCGCAAGACCAAAGAGGGGGACCUUCGGGCCUCUUGCCAUCAGAUGUGCCCAGAUGGGAUUAGCUUGUUGGUGAGGUAACGGCUCACCAAGGCGACGAUCCCUAGCUGGUCUGAGAGGAUGACCAGCCACACUGGAACUGAGACACGGUCCAGACUCCUACGGGAGGCAGCAGUGGGGAAUAUUGCACAAUGGGCGCAAGCCUGAUGCAGCCAUGCCGCGUGUAUGAAGAAGGCCUUCGGGUUGUAAAGUACUUUCAGCGGGGAGGAAGGUGUUGUGGUUAAUAACCACAGCAAUUGACGUUACCCGCAGAAGAAGCACCGGCUAACUCCGUGCCAGCAGCCGCGGUAAUACGGAGGAUGCAAGCGUUAAUCGGAAUUACUGGGCGUAAAGCGCACGCAGGCGGUCUGUCAAGUCGGAUGUGAAAUCCCCGGGCUCAACCUGGGAACUGCAUUCGAAACUGGCAGGCUUGAGUCUUGUAGAGGGGGGUAGAAUUCCAGGUGUAGCGGUGAAAUGCGUAGAGAUCUGGAGGAAUACCGGUGGCGAAGGCGGCCCCCUGGACAAAGACUGACGCUCAGGUGCGAAAGCGUGGGGAGCAAACAGGAUUAGAUACCCUGGUAGUCCACGCCGUAAACGAUGUCUACUUGGAGGUUGUGCCCUUGAGGCGUGGCUUCCGGAGCUAACGCGUUAAGUAGACCGCCUGGGGAGUACGGCCGCAAGGUUAAAACUCAAAUGAAUUGACGGGGGCCCGCACAAGCGGUGGAGCAUGUGGUUUAAUUCGAUGCAACGCGAAGAACCUUACCUGGUCUUGACAUCCACGGAACUUUCCAGAGAUGGAUU
RNAcentral lists this ribosomal RNA (1022 nucleotides) under Salmonella enterica. RNAcentral's name for it is "bacterial SSU rRNA". It matches the Rfam family "Bacterial small subunit ribosomal RNA", at positions 1 to 1012 of the family's 1533-position model. The record is from RNAcentral. Lineage: Bacteria; Pseudomonadati; Pseudomonadota; Gammaproteobacteria; Enterobacterales; Enterobacteriaceae. RNAcentral also lists the same sequence under 1 other name.